This 374-nucleotide unclassified non-coding RNA is filed under the name Hevea brasiliensis (rubber tree). Lineage: Eukaryota; Viridiplantae; Streptophyta; Magnoliopsida; Malpighiales; Euphorbiaceae. The record is from RNAcentral.
GGAACUUGAAUCCACUGUGGGGUUAGUCUCAUCGUCAACUGUGACUCAUGAUGUUCCUGAUUCAACAUUGGCUGACAAGAAGGUUUUAAAAAUUGACUCAGUGGAGCCCGUUGAAAAGACUGUUGGACUGGAUGGCGACUUACCUUCUGAGAAGGAUGAUUAUGAGGUUGAUAACUGGGAGGCUGAAGAGUCACUGAAAGAGAUCUCUGGGACUAUACCAUCGUCAACAUCUGAGGGUCCUGGAUCUUUUAGAAGUAUUGGUGGGAAAAGUGAAGAAGGAGGGAACGGUACUGGUAGUCUUUCAAGGUUAGCUGGACUUGGGCGUGCUGCAAGGCGCCAACUUACGGCAAUUCUUGAUGAAUUUUGGGGACAGU